GUUGAUGAAUACUGUACUGAAGGUAAAGCUCUGUGGUCAGUAUCUGAUGAUGGACAAUUAAGAAUAUUUGACAUUAGAAAUAAAACAAUGAUCAGUAAUUAUGUUCAUAAUAAUCCUACUCCUUUAAUGAGAGGAGUCACCAUUGAUAGUGAAGAUAAACUGAUCAUUGGAAAUGAAAAUGGAGAACUGAUACUACUGGACUUAAGACAUAUCAAAGAAUGGGGUGUGCAUUAAUUGGAGUUAUAAUGACGACACAUUACUCAAUGAUCAUAUAACUGGUACUGAUAUUGAUCCAAUAAGUUCAAUAGUGAGAAGACAUCAUGUGACAUACACUAGUUCUAGGGAUGGACGUGUACGUAUGUAUGAGAACAUUUAAGGAAUAAAUUAAUUAUUUAUGUGAUAUU
Long non-coding RNA from Amphimedon queenslandica, 404 nucleotides. RefSeq lists it as uncharacterized. The transcript has 3 exons. The record is from RefSeq and is a predicted model, not a curated record. NCBI's taxonomy places the organism in Eukaryota, Metazoa, Porifera, Demospongiae, Haplosclerida, Niphatidae.